RNAcentral lists this ribosomal RNA (429 nucleotides) under uncultured bacterium. RNAcentral describes it as "bacterial SSU rRNA". It matches the Rfam family "Bacterial small subunit ribosomal RNA", at positions 355 to 776 of the family's 1533-position model. The record is from RNAcentral.
UGGGGAAUUUUGGACAAUGGGGGAAACCCUGAUCCAGCCAUGCCGCGUGAGUGAAGAAGGCCUUCGGGUUGUAAAGCUCUUUCGGCCGGGACGAAAUCGCAAGCGUGAAUAUCGCUUGUGGAUGACGGUACCGGCAUAAGAAGGACCGGCUAACUACGUGCCAGCAGCCGCGGUAAUACGUAGGGUCCAAGCGUUAAUCGGAAUUACUGGGCGUAAAGCGUGCGCAGGCGGUUUUGUAAGCCAGAUGUGAAAGCCCCGGGCUCAACCUGGGAACUGCAUUUGGGACUGCAAGGCUUGAGUACAGCAGAGGGGGGUAGAAUUCCUGGUGUAGCAGUGAAAUGCGUAGAUAUCAGGAGGAAUACCGAUGGCGAAGGCAGCCCCCUGGGUUGAUACUGACGCUCAUGCACGAAAGCGUGGGGAGCAAACAGG